CACAGAGCCCCACUUGGGGCUUGAACCCACAAACCAUGAGAUCGUGACCUGAGCCAAAGUCAGACGCUCAACCAAUUGAACCACCCAGGUGCCCCCAUUGUUCUGUUUUAGCAUUUAACAGUUUUCCUGGGCUUCACAAGGAUCUGAAAUGUUAGAUUGUUUUUUCUAGGAUUUGAUCUAGAGUUGAGGUGGACCUUAGAAAUCAUUUGGUUUAAGGAACUCACUUUGUACAUGACUUACUGGAAACUUGGUUGAAAAAUGUAUGGCUAUCUAGAGCCUAGAACCUAACUCCAGUAUCCUUCCUGUCUUGUGUCCUCUUCUUUUUUUGUUCCCCACUCCCCAUAAGCUAACUAUAGUUAGUGGCUUAUGCCUUCCUGACUUAGUUUAUUGUUUUUCCCCUCCAUGUGAUUCUUUGCAUUGGAUGUAUUGUGAAUUUUCAUCCUCGUGUGAUAUAUAUCAUUGCACGAUUAAGGUGUUGGUGCCUCAGCCAUGCUAUGCUAAUUCCUACUUUGUCAAAUUAACAGUCAAAAGCAGGCAAAAAAACGAAGUCCUGUCGUGUAGGUCCGUUCACUUACGAAUACAAGCUUACAAGUUCCUUUUUCAUUUGAUAUUUUUACUGAGCAAAUGGUAUAUCUCAGAUGUUAACUAAGCAGCAUCUUGAUAAUUUUUCUUUCUACUGCAAAUAGUGUAAGGGAAGACCUGUUUUCAAGGGGAUCACUGUUCAAUGUAGUUAAAUUCAGGUUUGGGGGUGGUGCACACGGGGCUAUUUUCCUAUGAGGUUUCUGGCCUCGAGUUAAAAAACCCAGCAAGUGAGAUACUUAGAACUGCUUUGCUUUACACAACCGUUCUUUGUGUUGCAUUUGUAGUACCUAGCAGCCUUUUGUUCCAAGCUCUUUGAUAAACAUAACUGAGGGCCUAUUCACAGGCCACAUAAGUGUUCUUUCAUAAGAUAGCAUUUAGUUGCAUUGACCUUGAUGAUUGAGCAAGUACAACAUGAAAAUUCUAGGGAAAUUCACUUAGCUGUGCUGGAAGCCAAUGAGCUGUUCCUGUAACAAUUAAUGGUUUGUUAUAAGAGUGGGUUUUAAGCAACUUUUUUUAGGUGUAUUUAUUUUGAGAGAGCAUGCACAUGUGGGGGAGAUCAGAAGAGCGU
Long non-coding RNA from Herpailurus yagouaroundi (jaguarundi), 1150 nucleotides. RefSeq lists it as uncharacterized. NCBI's taxonomy places the organism in Eukaryota, Metazoa, Chordata, Mammalia, Carnivora, Felidae. The record is from RefSeq and is a predicted model, not a curated record. The transcript has 3 exons.